This 2468-nucleotide ribosomal RNA is filed under the name Carboxydocella thermautotrophica. RNAcentral describes it as "bacterial LSU rRNA". It matches the Rfam family "Bacterial large subunit ribosomal RNA", at positions 589 to 2925 of the family's 2925-position model. Lineage: Bacteria; Bacillati; Bacillota; Clostridia; Eubacteriales; Clostridiales Family XVI. Incertae Sedis. The record is from RNAcentral.
ACGGGUAAUGGCGUGCCUUUUGUAGAAUGAACCGGCGAGUUACGGUAGCAAGCGAGGUUAAGGCGGGGAGCCGGAGCCGAAGCGAAAGCGAGUCUGAAGAGGGCGAUAAGUUUGCUGCCGUAGACCCGAAACCGGGUGAUCUACCCAUGUCCAGGGUGAAGCGGGAGUAAAGUCUCGUGGAGGCCCGAACCGACCGACGUUGAAAAGUCGGCGGAUGAGGUGUGGGUAGGGGUGAAAUGCCAAUCGAACCCGGAGAUAGCUGGUUCUCCCCGAAAUAGCUUUAGGGCUAGCCUCAGGGGAUGAGUUAUGGAGGUAGAGCACUGAAUGGGCUAGGGGCCUGAGCAAGGUUACCGAACCUUAUCAAACUGCGAAUGCCAUAACUUGGACCCUGGGAGUCAGACUAUGAGGGAUAAGCUUCAUAGUCGAGAGGGAAACAGCCCAGACCGCCGAUUAAGGUCCCGAAGUACAGGCUAAGUGGGAAAGGAUGUGCAGCUGCAUAGACAACCAGGAUGUUGGCUUAGAAGCAGCCAUCAUUUAAAGAGUGCGUAAUAGCUCACUGGUCGAGUGGUUGUGCGCCGAAAAUGUCCGGGGCUAAGCCUGUCACCGAAAUCGCGGCUUAUUCGAGGUUCGAAGUUGGAGGUUCGAGGUUCGAAGCAAGCAGAAAUCCUAAGGUCUAAGCAUAAAGUAAGGACCCGGGAGGAAUGCCAAGAUCGAACAUCAAACUUCUAACAUCGAACUUCGAGUAGGGGUAGGGGAGCGUUCCAUGGGCGGAGAAGGCAUACCGUGAGGAGUGCUGGAGCGCAUGGAAGUGAGAAUGCCGGUAUAAGUAUGCGAAAAGGCAGGUGAGAAUCCUGCCCGCCGAAAACCUGAGGUUUCCUGGGGAAGGCUCGUCCGCCCAGGGUAAGUCGGGACCUAAGCCGAGGCCGAAGAGGCGUAGGUGAUGGACAAUCGGUUGAAAAUCCGAUACCACCAUACAACCGAUAUUACGAAGGGGUGACGCAGGAGGCUAGGGAGAGCCGGUGAUUGGAAGGACCGGUCCAAGCCAGUAGGGAGUGAGGCAGGCAAAUCCGCCUCACGGAAAUCCUGAGAGGUGAAGGGGAGCCCGUAAGGGCGAAGCUUCUGACGCCAAACUGCCGAGAAAAGCCUCUAAGGAGGGGGUAUGGUGCCCGUACCGGAAACCGACACAGGUAGGUGAGGAGAGAAUCCUAAGGCGAGCGAGAGAACCCUCGUUAAGGAACUCGGCAAAAUGACUCCGUAACUUCGGGAGAAGGAGUGCCGCUAGAUGUGAAGGGCUGCGCGCCUGGAGCAUAGAGCGGUCGCAGAGAAGAGGCCCAAGCGACUGUUUACCAAAAACACAGGUCCCUGCCAAAGCGAAAGCUGACGUAUAGGGGCUGACGCCUGCCCGGUGCCGGAAGGUUAAGGGGAAAGGUUAGCUGAGAGGCGAAGCUUUGAACCGAAGCCCCGGUAAACGGCGGCCGUAACUAUAACGGUCCUAAGGUAGCGAAAUUCCUUGUCGGGUAAGUUCCGACCCGCACGAAAGGCGUAACGACUUGGGCGCUGUCUCAACGAGGGGCUCGGCGAAAUUGUAGUACACGUGAAGAUGCGUGUUACCUGCGACAGGACAGAAAGACCCCGUGGAGCUUUACUGUAGCCUGACAUUGGAUUUUGGUAUUGCAUGUACAGGAUAGGUGGGAGACUGGGAAGCUUAGGCGCCAGCCUAAGUGGAGUCGGUGGUGGGAUACCACCCUUGUGAUAUUGAAGUUCUAACCCGAACUCGUGAGCCGGGUAGGGGACAGUGUCAGGUGGGCAGUUUGACUGGGGCGGUCGCCUCCCAAAGAGUAACGGAGGCGCCCAAAGGUUCCCUCAGCGCGAAUGGAAAACGCGCGGAGAGUGCAAAGGCAGAAGGGAGCUUGACUGUGAGACCGACGGGUCGAGCAGGGACGAAAGUCGGGCUUAGUGAUCCGGUGGUACCGAGUGGAAGGGCCAUCGCUCAACGGAUAAAAGCUACCCCGGGGAUAACAGGCUUAUCUCCCCCAAGAGUCCACAUCGACGGGGAGGUUUGGCACCUCGAUGUCGGCUCAUCGCAUCCUGGGGCUGAAGUAGGUCCCAAGGGUUGGGCUGUUCGCCCAUUAAAGCGGUACGCGAGCUGGGUUCAGAACGUCGUGAGACAGUUCGGUCCCUAUCCGUCGCAGGCGGAGGAAAUUUGAGAGGAGCUGUCCCUAGUACGAGAGGACCGGGAUGGACAGACCGCUGGUGUACCAGUUGUUCCGCCAGGAGCAAUCGCUGGGUAGCCAAGUCUGGACGGGAUAAGCGCUGAAAGCAUCUAAGCGCGAAGUCCACCUCAAGAUAAGAUUUCCCACUGGGAAAACCAGGUAAGACCCCUGGAAGAAGACCAGGUAGAUAGGCCGGGAGUGUAAGAGCCGCAAGGCUUUGAGCGGACCGGUACUAAUAGGUCGAGGUCUUAACCU